Molecule: ribosomal RNA, 375 nt
Filed under: uncultured organism
Description: partial 16S ribosomal RNA
Rfam family: Bacterial small subunit ribosomal RNA
Source: RNAcentral
GUAGGUGGCAAGCGUUGUCCGGAAUUAUUGGGCGUAAAGCGCGCGCAGGUGGUUCUUUAAGUCUGAUGUGAAAGCCCCCCGGGCUCAACCGGGGGAGGGUCAUUGGAAACUGGGGAACUUGAGUGCAGGAGAGGAAAGUGGAAUUCCACGUGUAGCGGUGAAAUGCGUAGAUAUGUGGAGGAACACCAGUGGCGAAGGCGACUUUCUGGCCUGUAACUGACACUGAGGCGCGAAAGCGUGGGGAGCAAACAGGAUUAGAUACCCUGGCAGUCCACGCCGUAAACGAUGAGUGCUAAGUGUUGGGGGGUUUCCGCCCCUCAGUGCUGCAGCUAACGCAUUAAGCACUCCGCCUGGGGAGUACGGUCGCAAAGACUG